Molecule: ribosomal RNA, 440 nt
Filed under: uncultured bacterium
Lineage: Bacteria
Description: partial 16S ribosomal RNA
Rfam family: Bacterial small subunit ribosomal RNA
Source: RNAcentral
CCUACGGGAGGCAGCAGUGGGGGAUAUUGCACAAUGGGGGGAACCCUGAUGCAGCGACGCCGCGUGGGUGAAGAAGCGCCUCGGCGCGUAAAGCCCUGUCAGCAGGGAAGAAAAUGACGGUACCUGAAGAAGAAGCCCCGGCUAACUACGUGCCAGCAGCCGCGGGAAUACGUAGGGGGCAAGCGUUAUCCGGAGUUACUGGGUGUAAAGGGGGCGCAGACGGCGAUGCAAGCCAGGAGUGAAAGACCGGGGCCCAAACCCGGGACUGCUCUUGGAACUGCGUGGCUGGAGUGCAGGAGGGGCAGGCGGAAUUCCUGGUGUAGCGGUGAAAUGCGUAGAUAUCAGGAGGAACACCGGUGGCGAAGGCGGCCUGCUGGACUGCAACUGACGUUGAGGCCCGAAAGCGUGGGGAGCAAACAGGAUUAGAUACCCUUGUAGUC